AGCGAACGCUGGCGGCAUGCCUAACACAUGCAAGUCGAACGGAUCCUUCGGGAUUAUUGGCGUAUGGGUGAGUAACACGUGGGAACGUUCCCUUUUGUUCGGAACAACUCAGGGAAACUUGUGCUAAUACCGGAUCUGCCCUUCUGGGGAAAGAUUUAUCGCCAUUGGGGCUGCCCUCGUCUGAUUAGAUUGUUGGAGAGGUAACGGCCCACAAAGGCGGAGAUCAGUAACUGGUAUGAGAGGAUGAUCAGCAACACUGGGAGAGGGACCCGGCCGAGACUGCUAGGGAAGGGAGAAGUGGGGAAUCAUGAGCAAUGGGCGAAAGAAUAGGGAAGACAGGCCGCGAGAAUGAUGAAGGUCGUAGGAAUGAAAAAUUAUUUAAGCGGGGACGAUAAUAAGGGAACCAGAAAAAGAAGCUCCGGCUAACUUCGU
RNAcentral lists this ribosomal RNA (432 nucleotides) under uncultured bacterium. Its description in RNAcentral is "partial 16S ribosomal RNA". It matches the Rfam family "Bacterial small subunit ribosomal RNA", at positions 29 to 506 of the family's 1533-position model. The record is from RNAcentral.